UUCAUUAACCAGAAAUAUUGGGUUCGUUCUCUGAUAUAUACGCAAUUCUCUUCCUUCAGCCUUCCCCCUCCCCUCACUCACAAACUGCGUAGCGAACUUGACAGUGGACAGUAGUGUAGUUAGCAAAAGCAAAAGCAAACCCUAAACAAUGGCAGAGCCCAAAACCAAAUACGAUCGCCAACUCAGGAUAUGGGGUGAGCAAGGACAGGCUGCCUUAGAAAAAGCUACCAUUUGUUUGCUUAAUUGCGGUCCUACCGGUUCCGAGACGUUGAAAAAUCUUGUACUUGGUGGAGUUGGAUCCAUUACUGUGAUUGAUGGGUCUAAAGUUGAACUGGGCGACCUUGGAAAUAAUUUCAUGGUGGAUGAAUCAUGUGUUGGGCAAUCUAAGGCGAAAUGUGUGUGCACGUUUCUUCAAGAGUUAAAUGAUGCUGUUAAAGCCAAGUUUAUAGAAGAGUAUCCCGAGGCAUUAAUUGGCUCAAAUCCCUCCUUCUUUUCGCAGUUUACACUGGUUGUAGCCACUCAGUUGGCGGAAGACUCGAUGAUAAAGCUCGAUAAAAUCUGCAGGGAGGCAAAUGUUCUGUUGAUUUUUGCACGCUCCUAUGGCCCUACCGGGUUUGUCAGAAUUAGUGUGAAGGAACAUGCAGUGAUUGAGUCAAAGCCUGAUCAUUUCUUGGAUGACCUUCGGUUAAAUAACCCAUGGCCUGAGCUCAAAAGGUUUGCAGAAACCAUUGAUUUAAAUGUGACAGAUCCUGUUGCCCAUAAGCACACACCUUAUGUUGUCAUUCUAGUCAAGAUUGCUGAGGAGUGGACCAAAGCUCAUGGUGGUGCCCUCCCAUCAACCAGGGAUGAGAAGAAAGAAUUCAAGGAGCUUCUAAAAGCAGGAAUGGUUGCAAUGGAUGAAGACAACUAUAAAGAAGCUAUUGAGGCCUCCUUUAAAGUAUUUGCACCUCGAGGAAUUAAUUCUGGUCUGUUGCAGAUAAUCCAUGAUAGCUGCAGUGAAGUUGAGUCUAAUUCAUCUGACUUUUGGGUGAUGGUUGCUGCCUUGAAGGAGUUCAUUGCGAAUGAAGGUGGUGAGGAGGCACCUCUUGAGGGUUCAAUACCGGAUAUGACUUCUUCAACUGAGCUUUAUGUAAAUUUACAGAAGAUCUACCAAGCAAAAGCGGAGGCCGACUUUCUUGCUAUUCAGCAAAGAGUUAAGAGUAUUCUGAAGAGAAUGGGUAGAGAUCCAGAUAGCAUCUCAAAGGAAAUGAUUAAAAGCUUCUGCAAAAAUGCAAGAAAACUAAAGAUUUGCAGGUAUCGCCCUAUUGAAGAUGAGUUCAACAAUCCUGCAGUAACAGAGUUACAGAAGUAUUUAACUGAUGAGGAAUACAGUGUUGCCAUGGGGUUUUAUAUCCUGCUUCGAUCUGUUGACCGCUUUGCUGCUAAUUAUAACAGUUUUCCUGGGCAAUUUGAAGGGGAAAUGGAUGGGGAUAUAUCUCGACUGAAAACUACAGUUGUUGGUCUACUUAGUGACCUCGGUUGCAAUGGUGCAACUGUAACCGAGGACCUUAUCAAUGAAAUGUGCCGGUUUGGUGCUUCUGAACUUCAUGCGGUUGCUGCCUUUAUUGGGGGAAUUGCAUCGCAAGAAGUGAUCAAGCUGAUAACAAAACAAUUUGUUCCCAUGGUGGGGACUUUCAUAUUCAACGGCAUCGAUCAAAGGUCUCAAUUAUUGGCACUGUAGAAUGCUUUGCUGGAACAGAUCACCACUUCAUAGGAUGGAGCAGUUGACCUUUUGCAGAAAGUGUUGAGACUCUUGAAGACCCCCAUACAUCACUAUGUAUUAAGGAAAAAGGUUUUGAAAGUCUGUAUGGUUGUAAUGGAAAUGAGGUACGAUGAUGUUUAGCUAACUCACAAAAUUCACACUGAAAUGAAGAUGGAUUUUUAUUUUUAAACAAACUUGGAAACAGAUGCUUUAAAUAUUGAAAACUUGGGUGGUCUAAUCUAUAAUGCCACAACAUUAUUUCAUCACUACUAGCAACAAGAAUAGAUUCAAAACAAGUACUUGUAAUAGGUUUUCUCGAUUUGGAUCCAUCUUCAAGGAAAUAAAGUCCACCGAUCUCUCUAGCAUUGCCAAUCGUCCUCCUCGAGGAUAAAUUUGGAACAUGGAGAACAUUAUGAAGUGUAAGAGAAGGAGAAAUGAACACUGAUCCUUUUCCAGCUAUAGCUGAAAGAGAACCAUCUGUAAUUUUGAUCUUUUUGUUUCCUGCACAUGGUUUAUAGGAAGAGAAUAUUUUUGAAGAACCAGUCAUAUGAUCAGUAGCUCCAGAGUCAAUGAUCCAAGAAUAAUGAACAUUUGAUUUUAUACUAGAGAGAGUUGCAAUGAGAUAA
This is an RNA transcript of Populus trichocarpa (black cottonwood), 2367 nucleotides long. It is a transcript of the gene named NEDD8-activating enzyme E1 regulatory subunit AXR1, with no coding region annotated. The record is from RefSeq and is a predicted model, not a curated record. The transcript has 17 exons. NCBI's taxonomy places the organism in Eukaryota, Viridiplantae, Streptophyta, Magnoliopsida, Malpighiales, Salicaceae.